Molecule: long non-coding RNA, 595 nt
Filed under: Homo sapiens (human)
Lineage: Eukaryota; Metazoa; Chordata; Mammalia; Primates; Hominidae
Description: non-protein coding ARHGEF26-AS1:19
Source: RNAcentral
AGAUCCGCCUCCAUCGCAGCCAGAAGCAAGAAGCUGUCUUCCCGCCCCCGCGUGCCUACAAUCAGCCCCAGUCUCCCUGGGAAACCGACGAGCGCACCUGAGCUGGGUUCUGAGCUCCAGCGUUUUGGGGCUAGAAGUUGCGGACUAGUAGCUGAGGCGGCACGGGAGUGUAGGCGCGCGGGGUCGUUGCCGGGGGCACAGAGUGAGAACAAGCAAGGGAGCCCUGCUGAAUUGCAGCUUAGGAAGCCCUGAAUCCUGGAGAUAUGUUCCUGACCCUUCCUUCUUGAAGGGACAGCUGUGUAACCAUUCAACCAUCUGGCCAUCAGUUUCCACAUCUGUGAAAUCAACUUCUGCCUCAUGGAGCCGUGAGUUCCCAAGCAGUGAAGGCAGUGAGGGGCUGUGGUGUGAUCCAGGAGGCUGAGAAUUAUGCAGUGGGUGCUGUCACCUUGAAGACAUCAGCGUGAUCAGGCAGAUCAUCAUGGUACUGCAUUUCCUGGACACGAUCUUAAUUUUCUUAAUACCUCCACCGACAUUUCAAAUAGCGUCUCUAAUGCCCCAGAGACUUUUAUGCCCCUAAGGUAGUUUUCUUUCUUUU